AAUUGCUAAUUGUAGACAAUGAUACACAUCGAUCAUUAUGUUUUUAACUUUCUUUCGGUGCAAUUUUACCCUAUUAUUUACGCGAUUAGUAAAUUAUAUGCUCACGAGUUAAAUAUAUACUCAAUUCAUUCGUCUGCUAUGAAAAGGGUUAUGAGAAGAACACAAAUCGGUAAAAGGUAUUUGUAGUCUGAUUAAAGUGCUACUUAACUACCAUUCAUUGCACUUUAAAACACGGACAUGUUAAAAAGUAUUUGUAGUUUGAUUAAAAUUCUACUUAACUACGAUUCAUCGAGUUUAACUUAAGGGUUGCUAAGAUCUUACGCUCUUUAAGUGGCCACAACUCAUGAAAC
RNAcentral lists this long non-coding RNA (350 nucleotides) under Brassica napus (rape). Its description in RNAcentral is "long non-coding RNA (BNAP_LNC010342)". Lineage: Eukaryota; Viridiplantae; Streptophyta; Magnoliopsida; Brassicales; Brassicaceae. The record is from RNAcentral.